AAAAACAUGUUUUUUUGUAAAAAUAAAAAAUCGUACCUGCUCACUGAAUAUAUUAAAUUAAAGAGCUGCAGUAUUUUAACUGUGCGAAGGUAGCAUAAUACAUUGUCUUUUAAUUAGGGGCUUGAAUGAAUGGUUUGACAAUAUGAUAACUGUCUUUUAUGUUCAUCAAAAAUUAAUUUUUAGUGAAAACUCUAAAAUAUAAUUAAAAGACGAUAAGACCCUAUAAAAUUUUUUCUUCAUAUUACAUAGACUAGGUAAAAUUAAUAAAGAAGAUAGGUUGGGGCGAUUUUUAUAAACAAAAAAACUGUAAAAUUUUAACCCACUUCUCAGUGUUAAAAAUGACCUGUAUUUUACAAUUUUUAAAUAAAAUUACUUUAGGGAUAACAGCGUAAUUUUUUUUAGAGACCUUAUCAAAAAAAAAGUUUGCGACCUCGAUGUUGAAUUAAGAAUUCUGCCAGGAGUAGCAUUUUGGUCAGAAAAUCUGUUCGAUUUAUAAAUUCUUACAUGAUCUGAGUUCAAACCGGAG
This 526-nucleotide ribosomal RNA is filed under the name Leptostylis sp. ICE1-Dia025. RNAcentral's name for it is "partial 16S ribosomal RNA". It matches the Rfam family "Bacterial large subunit ribosomal RNA", at positions 1809 to 2621 of the family's 2925-position model. Lineage: Eukaryota; Metazoa; Arthropoda; Malacostraca; Cumacea; Diastylidae. The record is from RNAcentral.